CCUGAUGCAGCCAUGCCGCGUGUGUGAAGAAGGCCUUCGGGUUGUAAAGCACUUUCAGUUGUGAGGAAAAGUUAGUAGUUAAUACCUGCUAGCCGUGACGUUAACAACAGAAGAAGCACCGGCUAACUCCGUGCCAGCAGCCGCGGUAAUACGGAGGGUGCGAGCGUUAAUCGGAAUUACUGGGCGUAAAGCGCACGCAGGCGGUUUGUUAAGCUAGAUGUGAAAGCCCCGGGCUCAACCUGGGAUGGUCAUUUAGAACUGGCAGACUAGAGUCUUGGAGAGGGGAGUGGAAUUCCAGGUGUAGCGGUGAAAUGCGUAGAUAUCUGGAGGAACAUCAGUGGCGAAGGCGACUCCCUGGCCAAAGACUGACGCUCAUGUGCGAAAGUGUGGGUAGCGAACAGGAUUAGAUACCCUGGUAGUCCACACCGUAAACGCUGUCUACUAGCUGUGUGUGCCUUUAAGGCGUGCGUAGCGAAGCUAACGCGCUAAGUAGACCGCCUGGG
RNAcentral lists this ribosomal RNA (503 nucleotides) under Alteromonas sp. QPM_2_32. RNAcentral describes it as "bacterial SSU rRNA". It matches the Rfam family "Bacterial small subunit ribosomal RNA", at positions 382 to 877 of the family's 1533-position model. The record is from RNAcentral. RNAcentral also lists the same sequence under 2 other names. Lineage: Bacteria; Pseudomonadati; Pseudomonadota; Gammaproteobacteria; Alteromonadales; Alteromonadaceae.